UUGUGGGGGUGACAGUUGGAAAGAAUAUGACCAGCCACAAAAGUCAUCUUCAUCAUUUAGUUAAACAAUUGAACACACCUUGUCUGGUGAUGCUGUCUGCUCAGAGCAGAGCAGAGGUGAAUGCUCUAUGAUUUCAGCACUGAGCAGCAGCUGAGUCUGCAGAGAUGCAGGUUUUGAAGACUGUGAUUGUGCCUGGUUCUUUCAGAGCAGAGGCAUUAGAGAAAGAGAGGGUUUUGAGAAUGAUGAGCUCCAAAGACUCUGCAGUGAAGAAGUUGGCUGGAGAGGAGUUGACUGAGAAGGGGUUGAAGGAGUUGAUUGAAGAGGGG
RNAcentral lists this small RNA (326 nucleotides) under Histoplasma ohiense. RNAcentral's name for it is "hypothetical lncRNA". The record is from RNAcentral. Lineage: Eukaryota; Fungi; Ascomycota; Eurotiomycetes; Onygenales; Ajellomycetaceae.